UAUAAAUGCUUUUGUGGGUUUCCGUGUUCAACGUUUUGACUGUUCAUCUUAUUUGAAAAAAAUAUGAUUAGUAUUUUUAUUGUUAUUAGAUGAUAAAAUAUGAAUAGUAUUUUAUAUAUGUAUGUGACUAAUUAUUUUUUUAAUAAAAUUUUCAAAUAAGACGGACGGUCAAACGUUGCACACGGAAAUUCACAACUAUACUUAUA
Non-coding RNA from Oryza glaberrima (African rice), 206 nucleotides. NCBI's taxonomy places the organism in Eukaryota, Viridiplantae, Streptophyta, Magnoliopsida, Poales, Poaceae. The record is from Rfam.